CACGGAGACUUACUGAUGCUUAUUGCACCACAUGUGUUGUUUAUUGAACAAGUUUCUUUGGUGGCGGGAGCAAUCCUACCGCCAGAGGUUAUAACUAAACCAAACUUUUUAUUUACAGUCAAACUUGAUUUAUUAUUACAAUAGUCAAAACUUUCAACAACGGAUCUCUUGGUUCUCGCAUCGAUGAAGAACGCAGCGAAAUGCGAUACGUAAUAUGAAUUGCAGAUAUUCGUGAAUCAUCGAAUCUUUGAACGCACAUUGCGCCCUUUGGUAUUCCAAAGGGCAUGCCUGUUUGAGCGUCAUUUCUCCCUCAAACCCCCGGGUUUGGUGUUGAGCAAUACGCUAGGUUUGUUUGAAAGAAUUUACGUGGAAACUUAUUUUAAGCGACUUAGGUUUAUCCAAAACGCUUAUUUUGCUAGUGGCCACCACAAUUUAUUUCAUAACUUUGACCUCAAAUCAGGUAGGACUACCCGCUGAACUUAAGCAUAUCAAUAAGCGGAGGAAAAAAAACCCACC
This 516-nucleotide ribosomal RNA is filed under the name [Candida] sp. VVT-2012. RNAcentral describes it as "eukaryotic LSU rRNA". The stretch from base 149 to 302 matches the Rfam family "5.8S ribosomal RNA". The record is from RNAcentral. Lineage: Eukaryota; Fungi; Ascomycota; Saccharomycetes; Saccharomycetales.